UUCCGAAUGGGGAAACCCAGUGUGAUUCGUCACACUAUCAUUAACUGAAUCCAUAGGUUAAUGAGGCGAACCGGGGGAACUGAAACAUCUAAGUACCCCGAGGAAAAGAAAUCAACCGAGAUUCCCCCAGUAGCGGCGAGCGAACGGGGAGCAGCCCAGAGCCUGAAUCAGUGUGUGUGUUAGUGGAAGCGUCUGGAAAGGCGCGCGAUACAGGGUGACAGCCCCGUACACAAAAAUGCACAUGCUGUGAGCUCGAUGAGUAGGGCGGGACACGUGGUAUCCUGUCUGAAUAUGGGGGGACCAUCCUCCAAGGCUAAAUACUCCUGACUGACCGAUAGUGAACCAGUACCGUGAGGGAAAGGCGAAAAGAACCCCGGCGAGGGGAGUGAAAAAGAACCUGAAACCGUGUAC
This 411-nucleotide ribosomal RNA is filed under the name Escherichia coli. RNAcentral describes it as "partial 23S ribosomal RNA". It matches the Rfam family "Bacterial large subunit ribosomal RNA", at positions 112 to 563 of the family's 2925-position model. Lineage: Bacteria; Pseudomonadati; Pseudomonadota; Gammaproteobacteria; Enterobacterales; Enterobacteriaceae. The record is from RNAcentral.